Trichonephila inaurata madagascariensis is the source of this 83-nucleotide non-coding RNA. Lineage: Eukaryota; Metazoa; Arthropoda; Arachnida; Araneae; Nephilidae. The record is from the annotation of a GenBank genome assembly.
GCAGCUGUGGCCAGUGGUUAAGGGGAUGGACUUGAAAUCCCCCGGGGUCUCCCCGCGUGGGGGUUUGAAUCCUGCCGGCUGCG